UCCGGUUUGUCACCGGCAGUCAUCCUCGAGUGCCCACCUUCACGUGCUGGCAACGAAGAUCAAGGGUUGCGCUCGUUGCGGGACUUAACCCAACAUCUCACGACACGAGCUGACGACAACCAUGCACCACCUGUCUCCUCUGUCCCCGAAGGGCCCACCCUAUCUCUAGAAUGUUCAAAGGGAUGUCAAGACCUGGUAAGGUUCUUCGCGUUGCUUCGAAUUAAACCACAUACUCCACUGCUUGUGCGGGUCCCCGUCAAUUCCUUUGAGUUUCAGUCUUGCGACCGUACUCCCCAGGCGGAAUGCUUACUGUGUUAACUUCGGCACCAAGGGUAUCGAAACCCCUAACACCUAGCAUUCAUCGUUUACGGCGUGGACUAC
This 381-nucleotide unclassified non-coding RNA is filed under the name uncultured Paenibacillaceae bacterium. RNAcentral's name for it is "contains 16S-23S intergenic spacer region". Lineage: Bacteria; Bacillati; Bacillota; Bacilli; Caryophanales; Paenibacillaceae. The record is from RNAcentral.